CACGUAGGCACCAAGCGUUGUCCGGAUUUAUUGGGCGUAAAGAGCUCGUAGGCGGUUCGGUAAGUCGGGUGUGAAAACUUUGGGCUCAACCCAAAGCCUGCACUCGAUACUGCUGUGACUUGAGUCCGGUAGGGGAGUGGGGAAUUCCUGGUGUAGCGGUGGAAUGCGCAGAUAUCAGGAGGAACACCGGUGGCGAAGGCGGGUCUCUGGGCAGUAACUGACGCUGAGGAGCGAAAGCGUGGGGAGCGAACCGG
This 254-nucleotide ribosomal RNA is filed under the name uncultured bacterium. RNAcentral's name for it is "partial 16S ribosomal RNA". It matches the Rfam family "Bacterial small subunit ribosomal RNA", at positions 524 to 776 of the family's 1533-position model. The record is from RNAcentral.